This 386-nucleotide ribosomal RNA is filed under the name uncultured bacterium. Its description in RNAcentral is "bacterial SSU rRNA". It matches the Rfam family "Bacterial small subunit ribosomal RNA", at positions 29 to 416 of the family's 1533-position model. The record is from RNAcentral.
AUUGAACGCUGGCGGAAUGCUUUACACAUGCAAGUCGAGCGGCAGCGCGGGGGCAACCCUGGCGGCGAGCGGCGAACGGGUGAGUAAUGCAUCGGAACGUACCCAGUCGUGGGGGAUAACGUGGCGAAAGUCACACUAAUACCGCAUACGUCCUGAGGGAGAAAGCAGGGGAUCGCAAGACCUUGCGCGAUUGGAGCGGCCGAUGUCUGAUUAGCUAGUUGGUGGGGUAAAGGCCUACCAAGGCGACGAUCAGUAGCUGGUCUGAGAGGACGAUCAGCCACACUGGGACUGAGACACGGCCCAGACUCCUACGGGAGGCAGCAGUGGGGAAUUUUGGACAAUGGGCGAAAGCCUGAUCCAGCCAUUCCGCGUGAGUGAAGAAGGCC